RNAcentral lists this ribosomal RNA (253 nucleotides) under uncultured bacterium. RNAcentral's name for it is "partial 16S ribosomal RNA". It matches the Rfam family "Bacterial small subunit ribosomal RNA", at positions 524 to 776 of the family's 1533-position model. The record is from RNAcentral.
UACGAAGGACCCGAGCGUUAUCCGGAUUUAUUGGGUUUAAAGGGUGCGUAGGCGGAUUAUUAAGUCAGUGGUGAAAGCCUACAGCUUAACUGUAGAAUUGCCAUUGAUACUGAUGAUCUUGAAUGUGAUUGAGGUGGGCGGAAUGUGUCAUGUAGCGGUGAAAUGCUUAGAUAUGACACAGAACACCGAUUGCGAAGGCAGCUCACUAAGUCAAUAUUGACGCUGAUGCACGAAAGCGUGGGGAGCAAACAGG